Vombatus ursinus (common wombat) is the source of this 106-nucleotide small nuclear RNA. Lineage: Eukaryota; Metazoa; Chordata; Mammalia; Diprotodontia; Vombatidae. The record is from Ensembl.
GUGUUAACUUCAGCAGCACAUAUACUAAAGUUGGGAUGAUAAAGAGAGAUUAGCAUGGACCCAGUACAAGGAUGAAACACAAAUUCAUGAAGUGUUUCAUAUUUUU